Long non-coding RNA from Lates calcarifer (barramundi perch), 427 nucleotides. RefSeq lists it as uncharacterized. The record is from RefSeq and is a predicted model, not a curated record. The transcript is spliced from 4 exons. Lineage: Eukaryota; Metazoa; Chordata; Actinopteri; Centropomidae.
AAUGUAUAGAUUUUACCUGGUGUCAUGUGACAUCACUGAUCAGCAGUCUCAUCAAUCACAGUCAGAUUCCACUGAUUUAACACAGGUGUUCGUCAGGUGAUGGUCAGGUGUUGGUCAGGUGAUGGUCAGGUGUUGGUCAGGUGUUCGUCAGGUGUUCGUCAGGUGAUGGUCAGGUGUUGGUCAGGUGUUGGUCAGGUGAUGGUCAGGUGUUGGUCAGGUGUUCGUCAGGUGUUCGUCAGGUGAUGGUCAGGUGUUGGUCAGGUGUUGGUCAGGUGAUGGUCAGGUGAUGGUCAGGUGAUGGUCAGGUGUUCGUCAGGUGUUGGUCAGGUGUUGGUCAGGUGAUGGUCAGGUGAUGGUCAGGUGUUGGUCAGGUGAUGGUCAGGUGAUGGUCAGGUGUUGGUCAGGUGAUGGUCAGGUGUUGGUCAGG